UGUGUUACAUAAUAGGUAGGAUUUUUGGUUCUGUCUCAACAUUCAGCUUUUAAUUUUUUUUCUGCACCUAACAGUGCAAUUCUUAAACAUUUGUGUUCUGAUUUUUUUCUCACAAUAUCUGCUCUUAGACGACUUUCUUAUUUUCUCCUUUAGAACUUCUGAGGUGCUGCCUGCUCUUGUUUAAGUUGGCACAUUGGCACAUUAUAGCAUUCUAAUCAAGCUCCUUUGUAGAUUUAGAGUCUCUGACAUCAUUCAGUCCCCUUACUCCAGAAACUGAGGCUCCAAGUCGUGGUUCUUCUUUUGACCUCAACUCCCUUGGAUAACAGUAAGGCACUGCCUACCUUCUAAACAGAACUUUUAAUUUUGAUGUACCAAAGUGUUCUCUCUGCAUCCACAACUGCAGGCCAGAAGAGGACAUCAGAUCUCAUUAUAGAUGGCUAUGAGCCACCAUGCAGUUGCUGGGAAUUGAAUUCAGGACCUUUGGAAGAGCAGACAGUGUUCUUAACCUUUGAGCCAUCUCUCAAGUCCAUAGAAAAGCUUUUUAAAUAAUACUCAAUAUAUGUCACUUAAUUCUUCAGUGACAAACUUUUUCAAAGCAUACUAUUGUACCAUGAAUGCCAUAGGAAACAACCUUGCUGACCGUGUAAACUGUCUUCUCUUCGCAACUGCAAAUAAAAUUAAGAGAAAUAUUUUUAGUUGUGAGCUCAAUGAACCUUGGAGGAGGAAGGAUUGAAGCAGCCGGAGAGGUCAAGGACACCACAGGAAAACCUACAGAAUCAACUAACAUGGGCCCGUAGAGACUUAUAGAGACUGAACCACCAAACAGAGAGCAUGCAGUCUUCAUGUGGGUCUCCCUAACAGCAGGAACAAGGGCUGUCUCUGACUCAGUUGCCUGCUCCUGGAUCGUUUUCCCCUAACUGGACCACCUUGUCUAGCUUCAAUAGAAGAAGAAGAAGCACCUGGUGUUGGGAUCAGUAAGCAGGCACUUCUACAGGCAGCCCCAAGGGACCUGACAGACCAGUUAUCAGACAUUUGUGAAGACACCCAGACCACCUACUGACCACCUGGAACUACCUGUGCAUGCCCUGGGUCACCCUAUAAGAGAAUUGGAGCCCUCCCCUUGCUCUCUCUCUUACUCUCUUCUCUUCUCUUUCUCUCCUCCUCUCUCUCUCUACAACCCCCCUUCCCCUAAUAAACUUCCCACGUGGAA
This is a long non-coding RNA of Meriones unguiculatus (Mongolian gerbil), 1210 nucleotides long. RefSeq lists it as uncharacterized. The transcript has 2 exons. The record is from RefSeq and is a predicted model, not a curated record. Lineage: Eukaryota; Metazoa; Chordata; Mammalia; Rodentia; Muridae.